GACGAACGCUGGCGGCGUGCUUAACACAUGCAAGUCGUACGGUAAGGCCCUUUCGGGGGUACACGAGUGGCGAACGGGUGAGUAACACGUGAGUAACCUGCCCACAACUUUGGGAUAACGCUAGGAAACUGGUGCUAAUACUGGAUAUGUGCUCCUGCUGCAUGGUGGGGGUUGGAAAGCUCCGGCGGUUGUGGAUGGACUCGCGGCCUAUCAGCUUGUUGGUGGGGUAGUGGCCUACCAAGGCGGCGACGGGUAGCCGGCCUGAGAGGGUGAGCGGCCACAUUGGGACUGAGAUACGGCCCAGACUCCUACGGGAGGCAGCAGUGGGGAAUAUUGCACAAUGGGCGCAAGCCUGAUGCAGCAACGCCGCGUGCGGGAUGACGGCCUUCGGGUUGUAAACCGCUUUCAGCAGGGACGAAGCUUUUUGUGACGGUACCUGCAGAAGAAGCACCGGCUAACUACGUG
This 465-nucleotide ribosomal RNA is filed under the name uncultured bacterium. RNAcentral's name for it is "partial 16S ribosomal RNA". It matches the Rfam family "Bacterial small subunit ribosomal RNA", at positions 28 to 507 of the family's 1533-position model. The record is from RNAcentral.